Unclassified non-coding RNA from Vicugna pacos (alpaca), 331 nucleotides. Its record names the gene 7SK. It matches the Rfam family "7SK RNA". From Rfam's summary of the family: 7SK was discovered as an abundant small nuclear RNA in the mid-70s but a possible function has only recently been suggested. Two independent studies have found that 7SK RNA binds the CDK9/cyclin T complex (known as elongation factor P-TEFb). P-TEFb activates transcription by phosphorylating the C-terminal domain of RNA polymerase II. The record is from Ensembl. Lineage: Eukaryota; Metazoa; Chordata; Mammalia; Artiodactyla; Camelidae.
GCAUGUGAGGGCUACCUGACUGUGCUUUCUAUCACCCCAUUGAUCGCCAGGGUUGAUCUGGCUGAUCUGGCUGGCUAGGCGGGGGGCCCCCCUCCACAACUGCAAAUGCAUCCCUCCCUAACCUGCGCACUUGAUGGAAGAGGAAGUCCUUCCCCAAUAGAGGAGAACUGUUCUUCGGUCAAGGUCAAGGGUAUACGAGUAGCUGAGCUCCAUGCUAGAACAUCCAAACAAGCUCUCAAGGUCCAUUUGUAGGAGAACAUAGGGUAAUCAAGCUUCUGAGACUCCAGACACAUCUAAAUGAGGUGUUGCGCGUGGCAGUCUGCCUUUCUUU